This 460-nucleotide ribosomal RNA is filed under the name uncultured bacterium. RNAcentral describes it as "partial 16S ribosomal RNA". It matches the Rfam family "Bacterial small subunit ribosomal RNA", at positions 338 to 795 of the family's 1533-position model. The record is from RNAcentral.
CCUACGCGUGGCAGCCGUGAGGAAUAUUGGUCAAUGGGCGAGAGCCUGCACCAGCCAAGUCGCGUGAAGGAUGACGGCCCUACGGGUUGUCAACUUCUUUUGUCAGGGCGCAAUUGAGUCCACGUGUGGGCUUAGCGAGAGUACCUGAAGAAAAAGCAUCGGCUAACUCCGUGACAGCAGCCGCGGUAAUACGGAGGAUGCGAGCGUUAUGCGGAUUUAUUGGGGUUAAAGGGUGCGUAGGCGGAAUAUCAAGUCAGCGGUAAAAAUUCGGGGCUCAACCCCGUCGUGCCGUUGAAACUGAUGUUCUUGAGUGGGCGAGAAGGAUGCGGAAUGCGUGGGGUAGCGGUGAAAUGCAUAGAUAGCACGCAGAACUCCGAUUGCGAAGGCAGCAUACCGGCGCCCAACUGACGCUGAAGCACGAAAGCGUGGGUAUCGAACAGGAUGAGAUACCCUUGUAGUC